UUUAUACUUUCUUUGUCCGGAAAUACUUGUUCUAGAAAUGAAUAAAAUGAAUGUAUCUAUCACUAAAUUAAGUCUAGAUACAACAUUUUUGGGACAAGUAUUUUCGAACGAAGGAAGUAUAGG
Triticum urartu is the source of this 123-nucleotide non-coding RNA. NCBI's taxonomy places the organism in Eukaryota, Viridiplantae, Streptophyta, Magnoliopsida, Poales, Poaceae. The record is from Rfam.